RNAcentral lists this ribosomal RNA (1310 nucleotides) under Torbenella orbis. Its description in RNAcentral is "SSU rRNA". It matches the Rfam family "Eukaryotic small subunit ribosomal RNA", at positions 37 to 1288 of the family's 1831-position model. Lineage: Eukaryota; Metazoa; Arthropoda; Malacostraca; Decapoda; Munididae. The record is from RNAcentral.
UCAAAGAUUAAGCCAUGCAUGUCUCAGUACAAACCAAAUAAGAAGGUGAAACCGCGAAUGGCUCAUUAAAUCAGCUAUUUUUUAUUAGAUAUUUAUACCCUGUUUUUCCUUGGAUAACUGUGGUAAUUCUAGAGCUAAUACAUGCCCAUAUAGUCCCUGACUUUACUGUCAGGGCGCUCUUAUUAGUAUCAAAACCGGUAACAGACUUUGGUCUGUAAACCAACCUAUGAUGACUCUGGAUAAUUUAUAGCUGAGCGCACAGUCUUUGUACUGGUGCUGCUUCUUUCAAGUGUCUGCCUUAUCAGCUUUCGAUUGUAAGUUAUGUGCUUACAAUGGCUAUAACGGGUGACGGGGAAUCAGGGUUCGAUUCCGGAGAGGGAGCCUGAGAAACGGCUACCACAUCCAAGGAAGGCAGCAGGCACGCAAAUUACCCACUCCCAGCACGGGGAGGUAGUGACGAAAAAUAACGAUGCGAGACUCAUCCGAGGCCUCGCAAUCGGAAUGAGUACACUUUAAAUCCUUUAACGAGGAUCCAUUGGAGGGCAAGUCUGGUGCCAGCAGCCGCGGUAAUUCCAGCUCCAAUAGCAUAUAUUAAAGUUGUUGCGGUUAAAAAGCUCGUAGUUGGAUUACCGUUCUGGACUGAUGGUACUUCGCCUUAUGGUGUUUACUAUCACGCUCCAAAACCGCCUACACAACGUAAAAGUUGUUGGGCUCCACCAGCUCGCAUGGGAUGCUCUUAACCGAGUGUCCUGAGUGGCUGGUAUGUUUACUUUGAAAAAAUUAGAGUGCUCAGAGCAGGCUAUAUGUAUUGCCUGAAUGACUAUGCAUGGAAUAAUGGAAUAGGACCUCGGUUCUAUUUUGUCGGUUUUCUUUGGAAUCCGAGGUAAUGACUAAGAGAGACAAACGGGGGCAUUUGUACUGUGGCGCUAGAGGUGAAAUUCUUGGACCGUCACAAGACAAACAACUGCGAAAGCAUUUGCCAAGGAUGUUUUCAUUAAUCAAGAACGAAAGUUAGAGGUUCGAAGGCGAUCAGAUACCGCCCUAGUUCUAACCAUAAACGAUGCUAACCAGCAAUCCGCCGGUGUUAUUCCCAUGACCCGGCGGGCAGCUUCCGGGAAACCAAAGUCUUUGAGUUUCGGGGGAAGUAUGGUUGCAAAGCUGAAACUUAAAGGAAUUGACGGAAGGGCACCACCAGGAGUGGAGCCUGCGGCUUAAUUUGACUCAACACGGGAAACCUCACCAGGCCCAGACACUGGAAGGAUUGACAGAUUGAGAGCUCUUUCUCGAUUCAGUGGGUGGUGGUGCAUGGC